GAUGAACGCUGGCGGCGUGCUUAACACAUGCAAGUCGAACGAAGACAUCUGAGUGCUUGCACUUGGAUGGACUGAGUGGCGGACGGGUGAGUAACGCGUGGGUAACCUGCCUUAUACAGGGGGAUAACAGUUGGAAACGACUGCUAAUACCGCAUAAGCGCACGGUAUCGCAUGAUACAGUGUGAAAAACUCCGGUGGUAUAAGAUGGACCCGCGUCUGAUUAGCUUGUUGGUGAGGUAACGGCCCACCAAGGCGACGAUCAGUAGCCGGCCUGAGAGGUGAACGGCCACAUUGGGACUGAGACACGGCCCAAACUCCUACGGGAGGCAGCAGUGGGGAAUAUUGCACAAUGGGGGAAACCCUGAUGCAGCGACGCCGCGUGAGUGAUGAAGUAUUUCGGUAUGUAAAACUCUAUCAGCAGGGAAGAUAAAUGACGGGUACCUGACUAAGAAGCACCGGCUAAAUACGUGCCAGCAGCCGC
This 481-nucleotide ribosomal RNA is filed under the name uncultured bacterium. Its description in RNAcentral is "bacterial SSU rRNA". It matches the Rfam family "Bacterial small subunit ribosomal RNA", at positions 28 to 518 of the family's 1533-position model. The record is from RNAcentral.